AGUUAUGAAAUAAAUAACCUAACAUUAGUUUUGUUGCUCUUAUAUCUCUUAUAGUGUUUGUCUAGCAAAUUUGCAUAUAAUUAUGUAAAGUGUUAUAGAAAAAAAAUCGUGUGAAAUUUAAAUUAACUUUAAUUUUCAUUUAUUGCUCAAUUUUAAUAGCCCAAAGAACACAGUAUAUAAUAAAAAAUUCCCCCACUGACUAUUAAAUGCGCUACACCCAGUCCAGUAGGUGGCAGUAAUGACCCUUCAGUUGCCAACCGCCACUCAGUUUAGAAGCGCAGAAGAUUAGAACGUUAAGUUUGGGCGCGAAAGGACAACGACAGUGCCAGCGGGGUUUUAGAGGCCCAUUAGAGUGAUUUCCUGCGUUCUCUCCCACAUGGUCAGCGAAUGGAUUAUCCAGUCACAGUACAUAAUGAAAGACUUGCCGAAGUUAGAAGAAGCUGAGUGAAUCUUCAGAGUGAUUCUUCAGAGAGAAGAUGUUAUGAUGUCUCACAAGAACCAAUGAAAUUUGGGAGACCUCAGAGUAUGUCCUUGCUGUGACUGUGCAAAAACAGCUAUGUUAUGCCCGUGAACGGAUUGGUGUAUAAAAGGGCCUGCAGUGUUCAACACUGUCUCUGUUUAAUGUGAAGUAAAUCCAUCACAUUUGCAUCAGAGGAGGAGCUUCAGUUACUGAAUAGUCCUAAACAAUGAACUGUGGUAAUGUUUCAAUUUCUAAAUGUUUCAAGAAGUACAGUUGUGUCUUUGAGUUUUGUAUGGUACCUGUAUCUGGUUAUUAAAAAUUGAAUUGAAUUGAAAUUGAAUCGCUUUUCCAGAUUCAUUUUGCUGAUGUAUGUUUAUGAUGUUGUCUUAAUUUUCCAGAGUCCUCUAGUGGCAAUAAUAUUUAUAUUUUUAAUU
Non-coding RNA from Misgurnus anguillicaudatus (oriental weatherfish), 894 nucleotides. Lineage: Eukaryota; Metazoa; Chordata; Actinopteri; Cypriniformes; Cobitidae. The record is from RefSeq and is a predicted model, not a curated record.